RNAcentral lists this ribosomal RNA (358 nucleotides) under Chondrogaster angustisporus. RNAcentral describes it as "SSU rRNA". It matches the Rfam family "Bacterial small subunit ribosomal RNA", at positions 557 to 962 of the family's 1533-position model. Lineage: Eukaryota; Fungi; Basidiomycota; Agaricomycetes. The record is from RNAcentral.
GGCGUAAGGGUUUGUAGGCAGCUUUAAAAUAAUUAAAGAUUGAAUCAAAUAGAGGUCAAGAGAAUUUCUAGAUUAGGGUUGAUAUCUAUAAAAACUAGGAGGAAUUCUAAUUAGCGAAGGCACUUUUCUAUCUAAUGAUUGACGCUGAGAAACGAAGGGGAGGAUAGACAAUAGGAUUAGAUACCCUGGCAUCCCUCUCUGUAAACGAUGAAUGGUAGUUGCUAGUAAUAAUUAUUAGUGGCGAUGCUAACGCGUUAACCAUUCCGCCUUGUGAGUACGACUGCAAAGUUGAAAACAAAAAAAUUAGUCGGUUUCGGAGCAAACGAAGUGAAGCAUGUUAUUUAAUUCGAUAAUCCGC